RNAcentral lists this transfer RNA (72 nucleotides) under Camelus bactrianus (Bactrian camel). It matches the Rfam family "tRNA". Rfam says of the family: Transfer RNA (tRNA) molecules are approximately 80 nucleotides in length. Their secondary structure includes four short double-helical elements and three loops (D, anti-codon, and T loops). Further hydrogen bonds mediate the characteristic L-shaped molecular structure. tRNAs have two regions of fundamental functional importance: the anti-codon, which is responsible for specific mRNA codon recognition, and the 3' end, to which the tRNAs corresponding amino acid is attached (by aminoacyl-tRNA synthetases). tRNAs cope with the degeneracy of the genetic code in two manners: having more than one tRNA (with a specific anti-codon) for a particular amino acid; and 'wobble' base-pairing, i.e. permitting non-standard base-pairing at the 3rd anti-codon position. RNAcentral also lists the same sequence under 1 other name. Lineage: Eukaryota; Metazoa; Chordata; Mammalia; Artiodactyla; Camelidae. The record is from Rfam by way of RNAcentral.
GAGGGUAUAGCUCUGUGGUAGAGCAUGCAUUUAGUGUGCACAAGGUCCUGGGUUCAAUCCCCAGUACCUCCA